AAGGGCAUUUAAGGUAGACUUUCUACUAUUGCUUAGAUUGUUAGUUGGUGUCAUCCUUAUAGAUCUCUGGAAAUUUCCCUAGUGCCAGAAUCAUUUCCUUCUUUAAGUCGAUUUUGUUGUGUAUUUCAUUUCAACAGUGAGGAAAGUAAUGGAUACAGAUAAGUAACUUGGUAGACUCAGACAAUGCAGUGGUUUUUUGUUUGUUUUUUGUUUUGUUUUGUUUUUGAAACAGGGUCUCUACAUAGCCUUGGCUGUUCUGGAACUCUCUAUGUAGGCCAGGCUGGCCAAACAGUAAAAUAUUAUUUAAUACUCAAAAGAAAUGAGUUAUCAAGUCAUGAGAAGACAUGGAAGAACCUUAGAUAAUGCAAAUACUGAUACAUCUGUUCUGGUUAACUUCCAACCUUAUGGAAAUGUUUGUAAACCCAAAACAUGGUAGAAACACAGUCUAUCAGACUGAAGACAUCAAUAUAUAUCAUACAUGUUCCAGCUGACCAGAGAGAAUAUCUCCAAAGGAGUAUCUCACUGAACUUGGAGGUUCCUGAUCCAGCUACAGUCAUUAGCCACCAACCCCAGAGCUCCUCUUAUGUCCUUCUACCCAGUGCUGGGAUUACAGGGAGAACAAAUCAUUCAAACCACAUGAAUGCCUUACAGCAAGGCGACAAGGUGGGCUUAGUGAGAUGGUAGUGACAUAGACUUUUUAAACACUCUAAAUCCUAUUGUUGACCCAGGAUAUGGAGGUGGUGGUGAGACGCUGUG
Non-coding RNA from Cricetulus griseus (Chinese hamster), 756 nucleotides. The record is from RefSeq and is a predicted model, not a curated record. Lineage: Eukaryota; Metazoa; Chordata; Mammalia; Rodentia; Cricetidae.